AAAUUUUGAAGCUAAGUAAUGUUUGUGUAGUUUUCAGCUAGAACAUUAUCGAAAAUUAAGUGAAAACUAAGUUUGUAGAAAGCUUUUAUUUCAGUCGUUUGGACGAGGGUUCGAAUCCCUCCGACUCCACCA
Molecule: transfer-messenger RNA, 132 nt
Filed under: Flavobacteriaceae bacterium
Lineage: Bacteria; Pseudomonadati; Bacteroidota; Flavobacteriia; Flavobacteriales; Flavobacteriaceae
Description: partial transfer-messenger RNA
Rfam family: transfer-messenger RNA
About the family: Bacterial tmRNA, also known as 10Sa RNA or SsrA, is named for its dual tRNA and mRNA-like properties.
Source: RNAcentral